This 441-nucleotide ribosomal RNA is filed under the name Streptococcus mitis. RNAcentral's name for it is "bacterial SSU rRNA". It matches the Rfam family "Bacterial small subunit ribosomal RNA", at positions 48 to 473 of the family's 1533-position model. Lineage: Bacteria; Bacillati; Bacillota; Bacilli; Lactobacillales; Streptococcaceae. The record is from RNAcentral.
CUAAUACAUGCAAGUAGAACGCUGAAGGAGGAGCUUGCUUCUCCGGAUGAGUUGCGAACGGGUGAGUAACGCGUAGGUAACCUGCCUGGUAGCGGGGGAUAACUAUUGGAAACGAUAGCUAAUACCGCAUAAGAGUAGAUGUUGCAUGACAUUUGCUUAAAAGGUGCAAUUGUAUCACUACCAGAUGGACCUGCGUUGUAUUAGCUAGUUGGUGGGGUAACGGCUCACCAAGGCGACGAUACAUAGCCGACCUGAGAGGGUGAUCGGCCACACUGGGACUGAGACACGGCCCAGACUCCUACGGGAGGCAGCAGUAGGGAAUCUUCGGCAAUGGACGGAAGUCUGACCGAGCAACGCCGCGUGAGUGAAGAAGGUUUUCGGAUCGUAAAGCUCUGUUGUAAGAGAAGAACGAGUGUGAGAGUGGAAAGUUCACACUGUGAC